RNAcentral lists this unclassified non-coding RNA (215 nucleotides) under soil metagenome. RNAcentral describes it as "partial contains 5.8S ribosomal RNA, internal transcribed spacer 2, and large subunit ribosomal RNA". The record is from RNAcentral.
AACCUAGCACACCUGCGGUGUGUACCUGCGGAAGGAUCAUUAGCGAGUCUAGCACUCCAUAACCUUUGUGAACAUACCACUGUUGCUUCGGCGGCUCGCACGGGGUGCGCUGUCCACGGCACGCCCCGGGCCCCGCCGAGGACCCCUAAACUCUUGUUUUCCCAGCGAAUCUUCUGAGUAUAGAAUAAGCAAUAAAAACUUUUAGCAACGGAUCU